RNAcentral lists this ribosomal RNA (207 nucleotides) under uncultured bacterium. RNAcentral's name for it is "partial 16S ribosomal RNA". It matches the Rfam family "Bacterial small subunit ribosomal RNA", at positions 568 to 774 of the family's 1533-position model. The record is from RNAcentral.
CGUGCAGGUGGAUUAGUAAGUUACUUAUGAAAGCUCCCGGCUAAACUGGGAGAGGUUGAGUGAUACUGCUAGUCUAGAGUGGAUGAGAGGUUAACGGAAUUCCGCGUGUAGUGGUGAAAUGCGUAGAGAUGCGGAAGAACACCAGUGGCGAAGGCGGUUAACUGGCAUCCAACUGACACUCAGACGCGAAAGCAUGGGUAGCGAACG